AAUUCUUGUCCACCCUCCCCCAAUAUCUUCACCCAAAACCGCACCUUUACGCCACUCUGUCACCACUUUCAUCACUGUAUAUAUGUCGGCUUUGAACUUGGAAGCUCUUUUAAUGGCGAUGAAGCUGAUGGAUGAUCUAUUGAUCUUCCCAGGGCUCACUGCUCCUGCUAGUUCUUAUCUUGAAGAGCUUGAUUGGCAGUAUGUUUCCGGUCUGGGUCUGGUUCUCUUGGAGAGAGAUGAAUUCUGCUAAUAAUGCUUAUUGCUGGAUGAUGAUGGAAAACUACAGGGUCCAGUUCUCUUGGCUGGUUCAAACAAUAUAAUGAAUCUUGGUUUCAAGGUCUUGAUUAUGGCCUUGGUUCCUGCUAUGCUGCUUACUACCAUCUAGGUGCCCGCCUUUCUCCUCGUUGUUUGAGUGACAAGGGAAACUCAUAACCACUAUCCGAGGAUGUGGGUUGGGUAAAUCCAAUUUUGUAACCCUAGCAGGUAAAGGACCAGAACCUAAGUUGCCCGUAACUAGCUCAAAUCAAGAAGGCCUACUGAGGUCGACCUUUCUCCUCUUUUUGAAGUUAUAGAAUGUGGUUCCAAGAUGGGUUCUUUUCAUUCUUUCUCUGCAUACUCAAAGGCAUGUAUGGUGAGCAUUCGGAACCACAAGAUGGGUUCUUUUUUUUUCGGUGACGUGGGAAACCAACAGCUAUUACCCGAAAGUGUGUAAAUCCCGUCUUGUGACCCUAGUCGACAAAAAAUCUCCUUCCCAUUGGUCCCUCUACACUUGCAGUUAAGGAAGCAGCAUGGGGUGGUCUUGCUCACUAUGCUGCCACUUCCCAGUUCCCAAAUGACUUUGAAUACAAUAAAACAUCAUAAGAAUAAACUGUUUCUUAUUCUAGUCAAAUGAGAGUCAGCUAGAGCUUUUGUGUCUAUUAUUGUAGGACAAUGGUUUAUCCCCCAUCCUGGAGCCUUGUAUAUUAUGAUGAGCAUGGAAUUCCAGGGCCUUCAAGGUCGCUCAAAUGGCGUUGAACAAUGUCUUCUUUGAAGGCAUCCUCUUGAAUACUAGCAUGGUUACUCUUGAAGAUGAGGGCAAAGACAAGGUCUGUAAAACUCACUUCCAAUCUGAUUAACAAUUUCUUAUCUUUUCUUUUAUGGUGAGUAGUUUUGUUUCGUGAACUAGUUGUUUACUUUUCUUCGGUUAUUCCAUUUUUUUACUUAUUCUGCCUGCUUAGUUCCUGGGUUGGAGUCGAAACAUGCUCCUAAAGUAAUGUUUUUGUGACAAUUUAUACCCCUACAUGAAGCUCUAUUGUAAGUAUUAAGUAUUCUAUGUAUUUAGGGGUGUAAAUGAACCAAACUUAUUCAAAAUCUGCUUAACUGACAUUAAAAAUGAUUGACUUUGGCUCAUUGGUGAAUUGGACUUUGAACAUUGUAUUU
Long non-coding RNA from Ipomoea nil (Japanese morning glory), 1419 nucleotides. RefSeq lists it as uncharacterized. The record is from RefSeq and is a predicted model, not a curated record. The transcript has 2 exons. NCBI's taxonomy places the organism in Eukaryota, Viridiplantae, Streptophyta, Magnoliopsida, Solanales, Convolvulaceae.